CGGUACUCAGUUCGGAUCGCAGUCUGCAACUCGACUGCGUGAAGGUGGAGUCGCUAGUAAUCGCGGAUCAGCAACGCCGCGGUGAAUGCGUUCCCGGGCCUUGUACACACCGCCCGUCAAGUCAUGAAAGUGGGCAGCACCCGAAGACGGUGGCCUAACCCUUGUGGGGGGAGCCGUCUAAGGUGAGGCUCGUGAUUGGGACUAAGUCGUAACAAGGUAUC
This 221-nucleotide ribosomal RNA is filed under the name uncultured bacterium. RNAcentral's name for it is "partial 16S ribosomal RNA". It matches the Rfam family "Bacterial small subunit ribosomal RNA", at positions 1282 to 1500 of the family's 1533-position model. The record is from RNAcentral.